This 229-nucleotide unclassified non-coding RNA is filed under the name Hevea brasiliensis (rubber tree). The record is from RNAcentral. Lineage: Eukaryota; Viridiplantae; Streptophyta; Magnoliopsida; Malpighiales; Euphorbiaceae.
GUUUUAUUGUUUUUGCUCUUGCAGCUUUUGCCCCCUCUUUUCCUUCGUCUUAUUUUGCAUGUUCCCAUGAACUAAUUGGGCAUUUUGUUUAUGUUUAAUUUGUUUGAAUAUCCACAUUAGUUUUAGUUCAAGGAAUUAAAGUGCAUAGAAGUUGGAUUAUUCCAAUUUUAUUUUCGAAAUAGCUAAACAUAAUUUGUUAAUAAUCUAAUUCAAGUUAUUCAAAUAUAAA